AGAGGGUGCGAGCGUUAAUCGGGAAUUAUUGGGGCGUAAAGGGCACGUAGGCGGUUAUUUAAGUUAGGUGUGAAAUCCCUGGGGCUCAACCUAGGGAAUUGCAUUUGAUACUGGAUGACUAGAGUACAGUAGAGGGGAGUGGAAUUUCCGGUGUAGCGGUGAAAUGCGUAGAUAUCGGAAAGAACAUCGGUGGCGAAGGCGGCUCUCUGGACUGAUACUGACGCUGAGGUGCGAAAGCGUGGGGAGCGAACAGGAUUAGAUACCCUGGUAGUCCACGCUGUAAACGAUGAGAACUAGAUGUUGGGAGACUUAGGUUACUCAGUGUCGCAGCUAACGCAUUAAGUUCUCCGCCUGGGGAGUACGGCCGCAAAGGCUAA
Molecule: ribosomal RNA, 377 nt
Filed under: uncultured organism
Description: partial 16S ribosomal RNA
Rfam family: Bacterial small subunit ribosomal RNA
Source: RNAcentral